CCUACGGGAGGCAGCAGUGAGGAAUAUUGGUCAAUGGACGAGAGUCUGAACCAGCCAAGUAGCGUGAAGGAUGACUGCCCUAUGGGUUGUAAACUUCUUUUAUAUGGGAAUAAAAUGUUCCACGUGUGGGAUUUUGUAUGUACCAUAUGAAUAAGGAUCGGCCAACUCCGUGCCAGCAGCCGCGGUAAUACGGAGGAUCCGAGCGUUAUCCGGAUUUAUUGGGUUUAAAGGGAGCGUAGGUGGAUUGUUAAGUCAGUUGUGAAAGUUUGCGGCUCAACCGUAAAAUUGCAGUUGAAACUGGCAGUCUUGAGUACAGUAGAGGUGGGCGGAAUGCGUGGUGUAGCGGUGAAAUGCUUAGAUAUCACGAAGAACUCCGAUUGCGAAGGCAGUUCACUGGACUGCAACUGACACUGAGGCUCGAAAGUGUGGGUAUCAAACAGGAUUAGAUACCCGAGUAGUC
This 460-nucleotide ribosomal RNA is filed under the name uncultured bacterium. Its description in RNAcentral is "partial 16S ribosomal RNA". It matches the Rfam family "Bacterial small subunit ribosomal RNA", at positions 338 to 795 of the family's 1533-position model. The record is from RNAcentral.